RNAcentral lists this long non-coding RNA (2100 nucleotides) under Oryzias sinensis (Chinese medaka). RNAcentral describes it as "lncRNA (ENSOSIG00000007668.1)". Lineage: Eukaryota; Metazoa; Chordata; Actinopteri; Beloniformes; Adrianichthyidae. The record is from RNAcentral.
ACCUUUGCCUUUGGAUCUUUCUUCCCAGCUUCCCACCUGUCCAAGUUCAGACAGGCGUUUGCUCUUUUCCAGAAUCGACAUUUUAUAUGUUGCUCUCAUUUAUUGCAGAUCAUCACGAAAGCGUUGGGACACAGGAGGAUCCAGACGUUGAGACUGGUGAUCCUGAAUAUGAGGUCGAAUACAAAAAUCAGCCCUGAGGAGGGAUCACAUGUGAUCACAACCAAUGUAAAGUCAGCACUUCCACGUUUGCUAUUCUCCAAAAUGUUGUACUUUUCUACCCUUGUACAACUUUGUAUAAAUGCUUGGAACUUGUACCACUUAAGAUUGUGUUAAUCAAGUGUGAGUUUGUAAUUCCUUCAAGUUUGCCAAGUUGGGAGUGGUUUUUAGAUGAGGAUGACGUUUUGGACAGCUAGAAAGUGAUUUCUGAGCAGCUGGAAAGCGAGGUGCAAGCAUCAGAAUGAUGAAAAACCAACCACAGCUCUAAAUGACUUAUACUGAUAGGCUGUAAGCUAAAUGUGGCAUUUCUAAGAAAAAAGCUUGAACAGGUAGCAUCUGUUCAGUUACUGAACUUGCCAAAGCUUGACAAGACUGAUGUUUUGUCACCCACUUUUUUCUUUUUCUUUUUUGAGGCUUUAGAAAAGAUUUAUAGAAGUUUGGAUGAGUGUAUUUCAGGGGUAAAUGUUUGAAAUCAGAUUUUUAUAUUUUUUUCACAAGAGUCACUAAACUGUGAAGUUGAUUUAUUUUUAUUGAUAUCUGUAUACCAUAAUUAUUUUUUUAGUUCCUAUGAUCAGUUCCUGCUGAGAAUACCAAAUUAUAUAUAUAUAAAAUAAAAAUUUCUUUUAUUUUAUUUGAGAUAAAGACUAUAAUAAACUCAUUUAAACACUUUAUUUUUAUUUUUAUACUGCCAGGAUUUUCUGUUCAACGAAGUGGAUGAAAAAUCCCUAAAAUAAAUCCUGUAAUGUCACUUUGCUUAUUAAUAAAGCAACAUUUUGAAGUGUCCCAUUUAAUCCCUGGUGGAUUUUGUCUGCUGAAUAUUUUUCUUCUAAAGUCAGAUUGCAGCUCUUUUGAUCCCAUAUUUGAUUCUCUCUGGAAUUCCCAUUUUUUUGUGAAGUAAUCCCGAUUGCCCUUAUGUAACUUUGACAAAGUUGUAAUGUGGGCUCUGAUUCUCAGCGAAACAAAGCCUAUUUCCCCCCUCAUUCGUUCUUGUCAUUUGAUGCCAGCCAUCAUUUCUAAAGAAAAGUGCCCUCUAGCUCUGAGGAUUAAUGAAAACUGUGAGAGCAAAGUUCAAUAAAGUCUUUUCACCAGCAUAAGGGUAAAUGAUUCAUAGUGAUAGCAACCUGGAAAAGAAAAGUUUAAAAGGAUUUAAACUUCAAUUUUCUACUUUCAGUUUUUAGAAAAAUAGCUUUGUAAAAAUAAAGAGAAACUGUGAGGAACUCUAUAAUUUUAUGUGACUGAUAGAUAUGCUAUUCCCACUGUACAAAUAUCGGGGCAAAAGCAGGCACUGAACUUUAAAACAACCUGAUUUUUUUUUUUAAUUAUCAUUGUUGUAAAAACUGUAAUAUGCUUUUGUGUAUGUUCAUUAAAAUCCUUCCUUUUUGUGGCAGUUAUUUUAGUUGUCAGCAGUCUUUAUUGGUUUUUGUUGAGGACAUGCUCAGAUUCUCUUUGUUUUUUUUUCUCUUUUAGUUUUAACAUAAUUUGUGGAAACAAACUUGGUGAGGUGUGAUGUCCAGGAAGGAAAUUAUGUUUACGCUUUGGGAGGUUAGCACUAACUCCUUCAUUGAUUAGUAAAACCUCUUGGCCGGACUGUGGUCAUUUGUAUGAACCGAUGAGGUCAGUUUGCCUUACUUUUACUUUCAUUUUAGCUUGGUCAUUAUGAAAUUCCCAGGUUUACACACACAGACAUGCUAUGCACCAGGGAGCAGAGUCUUUUAGGAUCUAAAGUGAAAGAAGAACUAGUCAAAUCCUAUUCAUUCUGCAGUAAUUAAAUUUUCCAUAUGUUCCAAAUCUAGCAUGUUAGUAACAGGACAGCUUCAAGCAUUAGGCCUCUUUUCUGCCCUCUGUUGGUAGUAGGAAAGCACAACAUUCACGCCCUUAUUUAGG